CCCUUAGAUGUUCUGGGCCGCACGCGCGUUACACUGAUGCAUUCAACGAGCUUAUAACCUUGGCUGAGAGGCCUGGGCAAUCUUGUUAACGUGCAUCGUGAUAGGGAUAGAUUAUUGAAAUUAUUAAUCUUGAACGAGGAAUUCCUAGUAAACGCAGAUCAUCAAUCUGCAUUGAUUACGUCCCUGCCCUUUGUACACACCGCCCGUCGCACCUACCGAUUGGAUGGUCCGGUGAAGCCUCGGGAUUGUGGUUCUUGCCGCUUUAUUGUGGCGUGACCGCGAGAACUUGUCUAAACCUUAUCAUCUAGAGGAAGGUGAAGUCGUAACA
RNAcentral lists this ribosomal RNA (328 nucleotides) under uncultured eukaryote. RNAcentral describes it as "partial 18S ribosomal RNA". It matches the Rfam family "Eukaryotic small subunit ribosomal RNA", at positions 1470 to 1796 of the family's 1831-position model. The record is from RNAcentral.